This 448-nucleotide ribosomal RNA is filed under the name uncultured bacterium. RNAcentral's name for it is "bacterial SSU rRNA". It matches the Rfam family "Bacterial small subunit ribosomal RNA", at positions 329 to 794 of the family's 1533-position model. The record is from RNAcentral.
CGCCAGACUCCUACGGGAGGCAGCAGUGGGGAAUAUUGCACAAUGGGGGAAACCCUGAUGCAGCGACGCCGCGUGAGCGAAGAAGUAUUUCGGUAUGUAAAGCUCCAUCAGCAGGGAAGAAAAUGACGGUACCUGACUAAGAAGCUCCGGCUAAAUACGUGCCAGCAGCCGCGGUAAUACGUAUGGAGCAAGCGUUAUCCGGAUUUACUGGGUGUAAAGGGAGCGUAGGCGGUAAGGCAAGUCUGAUGUGAAAGGCGGGGGCUCAACCCUGGGACUGCAUUGGAAACUGUGUAACUGGAGUGUCGGAGAGGCAAGUGGAAUUCCUAGUGUAGCGGUGAAAUGCGUAGAUAUUAGGAGGAACACCAGUGGCGAAGGCGGCUUGCUGGACGAUGACUGGCGCUGAGGCUCGAAAGCGUGGGGAGCAAACAGGAUUAGAUACCCGAGUACC